GAAUGAAGCAUGCAUAAUUCAUAAAGCCCCAUCCCGUUACGUAUCAGAGCGACCUAGAAGACACAGUGAAGGCAAGGCCACUCACGACGGAAACAGCACACUAAGCUCGGUCACCUGCACGUUACCCACGGUCGAGGUAACAUUCAAACAGAAGGGGUGAGAUUUCAUAACAGAUUAACAUUAAACAAUGCAAUUAAGAAUCAUAAGUUAACAACAUGGUCAUUUCAUUAAUUAACUUUGCAUAAUUGCUAAACUUUUAACACGUAAUCGUAUAUCCAUUAAUUAGGGAUAACAUAACAUAAUCAAUAAGCACGUAUCACGUAAUCACAUAUUCAAUCAUUAUCAACAAGGCAUCUUAAUCAUGACAAUGUGACAAUGCUCCUAGACUCCAUAUAUGCAUGUGGUACCAAUCGUCAUCAUAAGUAUUAAUAUACUUUAAUCGUGCGGAGGACAAAGCUCCUAUAAAACGUGCGGAGGACAAAGCUCCUAAUUUUCGUGGUGAGGACAAAGCUCAAUGUUAUGCUAUGCAUGGACACAUAUGAACAAAACAACGUAAUCGACUUAUCAACAUGCAUCCAAUAAUUUGGAGCUAAACUUCAUCAUAUACUUAUGCACUUAGUUAAACAACGGAAGCAGCAUAAACAGAUCACAUAAACAAAAUGAUAUCAUUAUAUCAAUAGCACAUAAAUUACAUCAUUAUCAAGUUUUCAUAUCUUGCAUGAAUGUACAAUACAUUAGUUCAUGUCCAUUUAAUAUCAACAUAACUUAAACAACUCUACAGGCUGCAUUAAACGUCUCCACUAGGUCUCAACACCGCUUAGGGGUUCACUCUUGAUCAACACAUGCGACACAGAUCGCACAACCACUCAAGCAACUACAUUCUGGUUGUACUCGCGAGGCGAGAGUACUUACUCGCCAUGGCGAGUAACACUAAUCUCCCAAACUGAUGUUGUUCUGGGUUCAAUCCUGUCCUAAAUCAUUCCUAAUCAUCUCUAGGUAUGUCUAGGCACUUAAAGGCACUCAAGGUCCAACUAAAAGGUCAAAAAUACAAAAUAUGACAUGCACUCUGCCUGAGCUCGCGAGGCGAGAAAGGGUUGCUCGCCAUGGCGAGUUGGACCAAACAACUCGCGAGGCGAAGGAAAGGGGCUCGCGUGGCGAGCGAUGAAGUCCAUCACUCGCGAGGCGAGGUUCAUCACUCGCUGUGGCGAGCGAUGAACAGAAGCACGGGCAGACUAGGGUUUUUCUCAAAAAUCCAUCACACAACAUGGUUCAAAGCCUAAUUUUGAUUCCAGAAUUCAUCCUAAACAUAUUCUAAGGUUAAAGGACGGUUUCUACAUCAAUCUAAACAAGUUUUACCGUUUGAUCAUCAAUUUUUAGGGUUUUAACCUAAUUCCAAAACUUUUCUAAAUCAAUCCUAACUUUGUCAACUAAUCAUCAGAAUUACAGAGGUUAAUGCUACUGAGUUAUUAGUCCCACCCUUACCUGGUUAUGAAGAAAAUCGCAGCCCUCUUGGUCUCUUGCUCCUCUCUAAGCUUUUUCUCCCUUUUCCAAAAGUUUUCACGUACAAU
RNAcentral lists this long non-coding RNA (1568 nucleotides) under Medicago truncatula (barrel medic). RNAcentral describes it as "long non-coding RNA (MTRU_LNC003520)". The record is from RNAcentral. Lineage: Eukaryota; Viridiplantae; Streptophyta; Magnoliopsida; Fabales; Fabaceae.